AAAUUGAAGAGUUUGAUCAUGGCUCAGAUUGAACGCUGGCGGCAGGCCUAACACAUGCAAGUCGAACGGUAACAGGAAACAGCUUGCUGUUUCGCUGACGAGUGGCGGACGGGUGAGUAAUGUCUGGGAAACUGCCCGAUGGAGGGGGAUAACUACUGGAAACGGUAGCUAAUACCGC
Molecule: ribosomal RNA, 178 nt
Filed under: Escherichia coli
Lineage: Bacteria; Pseudomonadati; Pseudomonadota; Gammaproteobacteria; Enterobacterales; Enterobacteriaceae
Also listed under: 1 other name
Description: partial 16S ribosomal RNA
Rfam family: Bacterial small subunit ribosomal RNA
Source: RNAcentral